This 373-nucleotide ribosomal RNA is filed under the name uncultured organism. Its description in RNAcentral is "partial 16S ribosomal RNA". It matches the Rfam family "Bacterial small subunit ribosomal RNA", at positions 527 to 896 of the family's 1533-position model. The record is from RNAcentral.
GUAGGUGGCAAGCGUUGUCCGGAAUUAUUGGGCGUAAAGCGCGCGCAGGCGGUUCUUUAAGUCUGAUGUGAAAGCCCACGGCUCAACCGUGGAGGGUCAUUGGAAACUGGAGGACUUGAGUACAGAAGAGGAAAGCGGAAUUCCACGUGUAGCGGUGAAAUGCGUAGAGAUGUGGAGGAACACCAGUGGCGAAAGCGGCUUUCUGGUCUGUAACUGACGCUGAGGCGCGAAAGCGUGGGGAGCAAACAGGGAUUAGAUACCCUGGUAGUCCACGCCGUAAACGAUGAGUGCUAAGUGUUAGGGGGUUUCCGCCCCCUUAGUGCUGCAGCUAACGCAUUAAGCACUCCGCCUGGGGAGUACGGCCGCAAGGCUG